AUUGAACGCUGGCGGCAGGCCUAACACAUGCAGGUCGAGCGGGUGAAGGGAGCUUGCUCCUGGAUUCAGCGGCGGACGGGUGAGUAAUGCCUAGGAAUCUGCCUGGUAGUGGGGGAUAACGUCCGGAAACGGGCGCUAAUACCGCAUACGUCCUGAGGGAGAAAGUGGGGGAGCUUCGGACCUCACGCUAUCAGAUGAGCCUAGGUCGGAUUAGCUAGUUGGUGGGGUAAAGGCCUACCAAGGCGACGAUCCGUAACUGGUCUGAGAGGAUGAUCAGUCAGACUGGAACUGAGACACGGCCACGACUCCUACGGGAGGCCGCAGUGGGGAAUAUUGGACAAUGCGCGAAUGCCUGAUCUUGCCCUGCCGCGUGUGUGAAGAACGUCUUCGGCUUGUAAAGCACUUAAAGUUGGGAGGAAGGGCAGUAAGUUAAUCCCUUGCUGUUUUGACGUUACCAACAGAAUAAGCACCGGCUAACUCCGUG
This 484-nucleotide ribosomal RNA is filed under the name uncultured bacterium. RNAcentral describes it as "partial 16S ribosomal RNA". It matches the Rfam family "Bacterial small subunit ribosomal RNA", at positions 30 to 507 of the family's 1533-position model. The record is from RNAcentral.